AUGAACAUCUGAUCUCAAUCAGGAAGUAAAGCACCGAGCUCGGCCGACUCGCCUCCGUGUUGUCAAUUUAGUUUCUUCAUGUUUGUUGCCUCAUUUAUAGCUUCUCAUUUUGAACAUUCGCCUUUUUAAUCAGACUUGGAGGUCUCCUUCACAGCAGGGACAUGGCCGAAGGUGCCGAGGCUGACAUUGAGGAGCCGCCUCGUUGUCAUGUGCCUCCUGUCAUUACAGUCUCAGGACUGCCCAGUGCCACUGCAGCAGGUCAAAACCUGAAAGAAUGGCUGCUGGAGCAGUUCUGUGACAAACCUCUGGAGCAGGAUGACAUGCGACUUCACAAUGCAGCCUACGUGGGCGAUCUGGACACACUGAGGAACCUACUACAGGAAGAGAGCUUCAUAGCACGGAUCAAUGAGAAAUCGGUUUGGUGCUGUGGAUGUCUGCCCUGCACUCCCCUAAGGAUUGCAGCCACAGCCGGACAGGUCGCCUGUGUGGCUUACCUUAUUGCUCAAGGGGCUGAGGUGGACCUCGUGGAUGUCAAAGGCCAAACGGCGUUGUACGUCGCUGUGGUCAACGGUCACCUGGACUGCGUGCGUGUCCUCCUCGAGGCCGGAGCCAACCCCAACGGGAGCCGUCACCACCGCAGCACACCGCUCUACCAUGCUGUACGUGUCGGUCGACUGGAUGUGAUUCAGGAACUCAUCCGGUUCAAUGCUGAUGUUGACAUGGAUUAUCAGCUGGGUCCCCGUCUUCCCUUAUGUGCUCGGACCCUCAACACUUUAGUGGUGUGUCCUCUCUACAUCAGCGCCGCUUACCACCACCUGCACUGCUUCCGGGCUCUGCUGGAAGCUGGUGCUCAGCCUGACUUCAACUACUCAGGGCCCGUGUGCCACGAUGCUUUGACUCGCGGCCUGGCUUCCUGCCUCCUGGAUGCCGUACUUCGACACGGAUGUGAGGUGACCUUCGUCCAGCUGCUGCUAGACCACGGGGCCAACCCAAGCUAUGUGCCCUGGGAUGAUGCUGAGCUGGAGGCUCCCAUCCGAAGAAAGGUGGAUCCCGAAGCCCUCAAGCUCUUCCUGGAAGCAAGAAAAUGUCCCAGCAGGUUGACCCACCUGUGUCGCAUCAGGAUACGCAGAGUCCUAGGGAAAAAACGUCUGGAGCAUAUACCAUCACUGCCACUUCCUCAACCCAUCCACAACUUCCUGUUUCAUCACAACUAACAGUCUUCGUUACAACCACAGCGGUGUGGCUCUGUGGACGUCUUUUAUUUAAAAUUGAACACUUUUGUUUUGUCAAAUACCGUGUGUUCGGGAGCCAAAGUACGGCCCCAGCCACCUAGAGAGCCCAACCCAAAACAGCAGGUGGGGGGCCCACAAUACCCAGCAAUAUGUUUGGAGAAGAAAAGGUCUCUAGAUGGCACUAUCCUCCCUUCAAGUGCUCACACAUCUGCCUUCCUUUGUCUGGUCUGCAUUCUCUCUACCCAUCAUUCUGCUCGAGGGUCUCCGACAUCUGUCGUCCAGGAAGUAUUUAGCAAGCACAAUCACAAGCAGAAUAAGCAAAGCUGCACGAGUGCUGAGCGAAUGAUUAAUUACUCCAUUGGAAGGCAGGCGAUGCACCUUAUUAUCCCGCUUACUGUGUGUGGAGAAGGUCAUCUCAGUUAGACAAUUGCUGCUCACUCAAAAGGCCUUUUUUUCUACUGCAGGAAACUAUACAGGAACUUUUCCAUUUACCCAGGUCAAUAAAGUUCCCCCUGCCAUGGGUUUCCACCAAAAACUACUAUUUUUAGUUCCUAGUAGCGAGGAUGGACUUUCGGAAGUUCCCAGGAUCCUUAGAGAAGCGGGCUGUGCUGUCGAAGGCUGAAUGGUUGAACACAGUGUUUCUAAAACUUUGUAUUCCAAAUUGUCAGCCGCCAUUACAGUAUGCUUGUUUAUUUCUCAUUUCUUGUGUAUUUCCACAACAUGCUUGACAACGGAGAGAAAGAAAAACAAAGGGAACUUUCGACUUGCAGGAACUUUUAUGUAGCGUCUUUGUCCUGAAGUACGCUGAUUAGUGGAAUUAUCCUGCAGUGUUUUUACUCAGCUGUGGUGUUUGAACGAGUAUGCAGUUUCAAGUUGUUUAUGCUUUUUUUUCUUUUUUACAAAACUAGCAAAGGUAGAAAAACUUUUUUUUUUUUUAAAAUCCUGAACAGGACAAGCGGUACAAAAUAGAUGGAUGGACAGGUUUUUACAAACAUAAAAAUGACAGGAGUAUACACAAAUACAUAAAAUGCUGUUUUUUUUCAAAUAAAAUAAACAAAACUACAUAUACAGUCGUGGUCAAAAGUGUACAUACACUUGUAAAGAACAUAAUGUCAUGGCUGUCUUUGAGUUUCCAAUCAUUUUUAGAACUCUUAUUUUUUGUGAUAGAGUGAUUGGAGCACACACUUUUUGGUCAUAAAAACAAAAAAAAUCAUGAAGUUUGGUUCUUUUAUGAAUUUUAUUAUGACUUGACUGAAAAUGUGACCAAAUUUGCUGGGUCAAAAGUAUACAUACAGCCAUUUUUAUAUUUGUUUACAUGUCCCUUGGUGAGUUUCACUGCAAUAAGGCGCUUUUGGUAGCCACACUGUGGACAAAAGCUUGAAUUGGUCUGUAAAAUAUUUGUGUCUUAGGUUCUAGAUCAGUGAUGUCAAACUGAUCCGGCAUGCGAACAGGUUUUAUUUGGCCUGCAAGAUACAUUUGCUAAGUAUAAUAAUAAGUUCAAUUAUUUCAACAAAGUAAAAUGCUGUUCUAAAUGUGUCCACCGGAUGUCGCAAUAGCAAUCUUGUUAGGCAAGCAAACGGGGGGCUAAGUAUGAGGUCCACAGUAAAGCGUGACUACGGCUCCUCCCCUUUUACUCAAAUGAAACGUAAAAUCUGUCGUUUUAUAUCUUCCACUUCGAACACAUCGCACUUUGGCAAUGUCAUUGCCCCAAUAUGUCUCUAUCAAAAAAAAAAAGAAAAGAAAAUGGGAGUAACUCAACCCUCUUGAAUAGUUUUUCCCUUCAUUUGUAUGGUUUGUUGAGUUAGCACAGCAUUAACUAGACUAAAUAUAUAGAAAAUAUAUGAUAAUGUUGAACUUGAACAUAACUUGGCCUUAAAGAAAUGAACUAUUAAUUAAAAAAUUGCAAGAAGAAGUUAUUAGGGAUAAGAAGAUUCUCGGGAAGUUAUGUGAUGAACAGGAGGGGAAUGUUAAAUAAUUAUGUAUAUAUUAUCAUACAACUCUUAUGCUUAAGGACCGUUGCUAUAGUUAUUAUCAAUUGUGCUGAAGUGGCAUUUUUCUUUGUCUGUGCAAAGCCGGCAAUCCAAAAGAUUGCAAGCCAGUCUCGUAUCAGUGUCUAUGUUCAGGAAAGGCCUGCUCACUGCCAUGGCCGAACACCGCCGUGACGCAGACAGAGCAAAGACAAGGCGAUAUCACCAGUGUCAACACAUUUGCAUUUCUUGUAUAAUCAUAUAUUGUGUCUAACUGGAGCUGUCAAGAUUACCCCCUUCCCUCAGCGACAGCUUCAGUGAUGUAACCAGGGACUUCCCAAAUAAAUAGAGGAAGCACGUGGGCUGGACUUUUAGAACGUAGCUAGAGUACAGCCAAAAAAAACGUGUCUCCUCAAUUGAGCCAAAUUGAA
This is an RNA transcript of Nerophis ophidion (straightnose pipefish), 3630 nucleotides long. It is a transcript of the gene named ankyrin repeat and SOCS box containing 1, with no coding region annotated. Lineage: Eukaryota; Metazoa; Chordata; Actinopteri; Syngnathiformes; Syngnathidae. The record is from RefSeq and is a predicted model, not a curated record. The transcript has 7 exons.